This 2051-nucleotide unclassified non-coding RNA is filed under the name Dimorphilus gyrociliatus. RNAcentral's name for it is "rING-type domain-containing protein". The record is from RNAcentral. Lineage: Eukaryota; Metazoa; Annelida; Polychaeta; Dinophilidae.
CCUUAAUUGGCAAAUAAUUAAUUAAUUAUUAAUUGAUAAAACAGUUUCCCUUUCGUAUUUAAUGGUAAUUUUUGUAUGGCCAACUAGAGCACAAUAGCUUAUUUUCUGGUUUUUUUUCCUUUUUCUCUCUCUCUCUCUGUUUCUUCUUUCUUUUCCUGUUUUUAUUACAUCAGCCUACUCACAUACGCGCCUUCUCAUUCUUGAACUGUCUAUUAGCAAUAUUUCAAAAAAUUGAAGGUGUAUUUCUUUCUGUCUCUCUGUUCAAAAUAAUUCAAAUUAAUUUUCUACGAUUUCAGGUAGGACUAAUUUGAAAAUGGAAAAUUUGGAACCUGAUGAAUCAGAGGUAGAGAUUCUUCCCAAUGCAAAUCAAACUGAUUGUCCCAUAUGCAUUAACUGUUACAUAAGAAGAAAUCCAAGAAUUUUACCUUGCGCUCAUACUUUUUGCUCCGUUUGCUUAGAACAAUAUGCCUUGUCAAAAAGAGUAGGAGUAGGAGAUACAUUGGCAUGUCCAACGUGUGAAACUCAUGUCAAAUGGCCUAGUAAAGGCAGUUUAGGAUUCCCGAAAAACAACUACUUUAUAGAAAGAGAUAGUGCAAUUGAAGGAGCAACAGCAGCAGUUAGCGUUAUAAUACCCAAAGAAGAUGAUCAUAUGUUUCAGCAAAUGUUUGAAAAUAACCUUCCUGAUAUUUCAAAUUGUUUAAAACAACUUGAAAAUCAUUUAAUACAUCUUGAACACGAAAAAUUUAAUCUACUAUCCAAAAUUGAUCUUUGUAGACUACUUGCUAUCGAUAAAAUGGAUAAAUGGGUGAGCUGUAUGAGAACUGAGGUUGAAGAUAGAUUUGCAGAAGACAAAAAACUUCUAAAGCAAAUUCAAUUCGAUCUCGAAAAUUUAAAUAGCGAUGAUACAAAAGAUACAUUAAACGUUCUCUUAAAUGAAAAAGAAGCUCUUCUAUCAAAGAAAUUAUCUUUAGUUAGUCAUAAUUUUUCUGUUGGUGAAUUAAAACUUAUCGAAAGAGAAAUUAUACUUGAAGAGUAUCAUACUGAAGAAAUUGAUUGUUACACAAUCACGGCUUGUUGCUUAGGACCAGAUAAUCAUUUGUACAUACUCAUUGACAAAUAUAGAAGUUGGUAUUAUUUAAAGAUGGAGAGAUAUUAUCAUUUUUCAAUUUCUCUUUUUUUAGCAAAGGAUAAUAAAUCAAAGGUGUUCGUUAUCGAAAGGUAUAGCGCAGAUGGAAAACUUAUUGAAGAAGACUGGUCCUGCCAUCUAGAGGGCGACUAUAGAGGUUUGGCUCUUGAUUGCGAAGGAAAUAUGUACUUGUGCGACAAAACUGCAAUAAGAUUAGGCAGAACAGCAAACUGCAUUGUAAAGAUUUUAAAAAAUGGAACACUAAAAUCAAGAAUUCUACAAUUACCCGACAACGAAGAAUUAUCAACAGUUGCUGUUGACUCGACGGGAAUUUAUGUUGGUAUUGAUAGCGGUAUUACGAAAAGAAGUAUUGAAGAACACACAAUAAGAAUUUUGAAAUAUGAUCUACAAGCUAAAACCUUGAUGUGGCAUUUUCAAGAUCAAUCAUUUGGAUUAGGAAAAAUGUUUUCCAUUGAUGAUUAUUUAAUACUUACAAGAAUUCACGAUGAAAAGAUAGAAGUAAUUCAUCGUGAUAGUGGAGAGAAAAUAAAAAAUUUGAACUUUAAUUUUAAAGAAUCAGGCGAUUCUCCCGCUUGGCCUAGUUCAAUAGCUCCUCUUCCAAUGAAUUGUUUUAUUUCAGCAGUUCAAAAACUUAAACAAUUAUUCGUAUUUGACAAAGACUUGAAUGUUUUACAGAAGAUAUCACUAGAAAAGCAAAAUAUACCUGUGAGCGUUAUAACAUGGUCAAAUUUAGAAGGAAACUUUCUUCUGUUGCAUUAUAAUUGUAAAUUAGAUAGAAAGCGUUAUUUGUCAUUCAGAAAAAUUCUCUAUAAGUAAACUCUAUUAUUUAUACUUUAUUACUAAUUACUUAUUGAAAUAUUAUGGUUUAUCCUUUCAUGUUAUAAUGAAUAUUCAGAGAUUUUUG